AAUAGAAUCCAUGAAGCUGCCAAUGGUUCUACAAAUGGAGCCCCAAGUGACCACCACUAGCACCUACUGUCAAGGACCCCUAGACCCACCCACCAACCUGUUCUCACACCACAACACCAAAGACUCCCCUCCUGAGGAAACCUCAACUGCAGUGCCCCUUCUACCCCCCAGUUCAGCAGGAAGUAGCUAGAACAAUCGUCACCCAACUUCCCAACAGCACUUGGGCUUUCCUGUUGAAAGGGGGGACUGAGGGACUAAGUGGCUAAGUUGGCUGGACUUCCUGGGUCAAUAGGGACUUCCCUAAAGGGACUUUCCCCUAAGCCAAAAUGAGUUACAGCUGCAAGCUAAGAGAUUAAAACUUGAACCAAUCAAAGGGGAUUUUCCCCUAAGCCAAAAUUAGUCACGGCUGCAAGCUAAGAGAUUAAAACUUCAACC
Molecule: long non-coding RNA, 435 nt
Filed under: Pongo abelii (Sumatran orangutan)
Lineage: Eukaryota; Metazoa; Chordata; Mammalia; Primates; Hominidae
Description: lincRNA
Source: RNAcentral